UACAGUAGAAAUCAUUCGCACGCUCUCUGAUCAUCUUCCUAUAAAAAGCACAUUCAUCUUGAGUUUCGACACAGGCAGGCAGCCACAAUAGCAAUGGAAAUCUAUUCCUACUUGUUGGCAUUCAUCAUUUUUCAUGGGAUGAUACUAUCACAAACCAGUUGCAUGGUUAAUGCCAUAUCAUUUAAACUACCACCCGGAAUACGACCACCACCAAGACUACCACCAUUACCACCACUACGACGUCGACCAUUACCGCCACGACAACGUCCACAACGACCACGUCGACCAUCACCACGGCCACCACCACCACCACCACAUCGACCAUCACUACAUAAAAAAAAACCUAUUAUUCAUCCAGCACCAUGACCACCACCACCGAAAGUACUCAAUGAUGGCCUUCAUACUAGUCUUCCUCCACCACCAACAAAGUUUUCCUUGGCCUUUGUUUUUUCUUCCUAGUUUGUAGGUUUGUGUGUUUCAAUAAGGCGAAACUUUGUUAUCCCUUGUACAAUGUCUAAUUUCGUGCACUUGUGCAGUGCUCAUGGCUAUAGCAUGACUCUGAGCUCGCAAUAAAGCAUAUUGUAAUAGGGAGCUCUAGUCCUCUAUAGCUCCCUAUUGAUUGUGAAAUUUCUUUGCCAAACAUAAAAUGUUUUUUUGUUGUCUGUCUUACAAUUAGAUCUUCAAUACCAAAUUAGGGUAGCACUACAAUAAGGUUUGUUUAUUUAAUAAUCUUUGAUUUUAUUAAAAAUAUGGCUAUUUAAACAGUAGUCGAAACUAAAAUAGGGUUUCUAUUCCAUAGGUACCGAUGAUUAAAACAGUAAUU
RNAcentral lists this long non-coding RNA (823 nucleotides) under Populus tremula. Its description in RNAcentral is "long non-coding RNA (PTRE_LNC001687)". Lineage: Eukaryota; Viridiplantae; Streptophyta; Magnoliopsida; Malpighiales; Salicaceae. The record is from RNAcentral.